Molecule: ribosomal RNA, 881 nt
Filed under: uncultured bacterium
Lineage: Bacteria
Description: bacterial SSU rRNA
Rfam family: Bacterial small subunit ribosomal RNA
Source: RNAcentral
UGGCGCACGGGUGAGUAACACGUGGGUAACCUACCUUUAGGUGUGGAAUAACUUGCCGAAAGGCGGGCUAAUACCGCAUAACACCUUUUUUUCUCCGGAAAGGAAGGUCAAAGCUUGCCUCUGUUUACAAGCAAGCGCCUUUAGAUGGGCCCGCGUACCAUUAGCCUGUUGGUGAGGUAACGGCUCACCAAAGCGAAGAUGGUUAGCUGGUCUGAGAGGAUGAUCAGCCACACUGGAACUGAAACACGGUCCAGACUCCUACGGGAGGCAGCAGUGGGGAAUAUUGCGCAAUGGCCGCAAGGCUGACGCAGCAACGCCGCGUGAGUGAUGAAGGCCUUCGGGUCGUAAAUCUCUGUCAGAUGGGAAGAAACGGGUAGGGGCGAAUAGUCUCUACCCCUGACGGUACCGUCGAAGGAAGCACCGGCUAACUACGUGCCAGCAGCCGCGGUAAUACGUAGGGUGCAAGCGUUGUUCGGAAUCAUUGGGCGUAAAGCGCACGCAGGCGGCUUUGUAAGUCGGGUGUGAAAGCCUCGGGCUUAACCCGGGAAGUGCAUCCGAAACUGCAAAGCUCGAGUUCGGGAGAGGAUAGUGGAAUUCCCAGUGUAGAGGUGAAAUUCGUAGAUAUUGGGAGGAAUACCGGUGGCGAAGGCGGCUAUCUGGACCGAAACUGACGCUGAGGUGCGAAGGCGUGGGGAGCAAACAGGAUUAGAUACCCUGGUAGUCCACGCGGUAAACGAUGGGCGCUAGGUGUCGCGGGUAUUGACCCCUGCGGUGCCGAAGCUAACGCAUUAAGCGCCCCGCCUGGGGAGUACGGUCGCAAGAUUAAAACUCAAGGAAUUGACGGGGGCCCGCACAAGCGGUGGGGCAUGUGGUUUAAUUCG